AUCCCUACGGAACAACUCCGGGAAACUGGAGCUAAUACCGUAUACGCCCUUCGGGGGAAAGAUUUAUCGGGGAUGGAUGAGCCCGCGUUGGAUUAGCUAGUUGGUGGGGUAAAGGCCUACCAAGGCGACGAUCCAUAGCUGGUCUGAGAGGAUGAUCAGCCACAUUGGGACUGAGACACGGCCCAAACUCCUACGGGAGGCAGCAGUGGGGAAUAUUGGACAAUGGGCGCAAGCCUGAUCCAGCCAUGCCGCGUGAGUGAUGAAGGUCUUAGGAUUGUAAAGCUCUUUCACCGGAGAAGAUAAUGACGGUAUCCGGAGAAGAAGCCCCGGCUAACUUCGUGCCAGCAGCCGCGGUAAUACGAAGGGGGCUAGCGUUGUUCGGAAUUACUGGGCGUAAAGCGCACGUAGGCGGAUAUUUAAGUCAGGGGUGAAAUCCCAGAGCUCCACUCUGGAACUGCCUUUGAUACUGGGUAUCUUGAGUAUGGAAGAAGUAAGUGGAAUUGCGAGUGUAGAGGUGAAAUUCGUAGAUAUUCGCAGGAACACCAGUGGCGAAGCGGCUUACUGGUCCAUACUGACGCUGAGGUGCGAAAGCGUGGGGAGCACACAGGAUUAGAUACCCUGGUAGUCCACGCCGUAAACGAUGAUGUUAGCCGUCCGCAAGUUU
RNAcentral lists this ribosomal RNA (664 nucleotides) under Neorhizobium galegae. RNAcentral's name for it is "bacterial SSU rRNA". It matches the Rfam family "Bacterial small subunit ribosomal RNA", at positions 132 to 833 of the family's 1533-position model. The record is from RNAcentral. Lineage: Bacteria; Pseudomonadati; Pseudomonadota; Alphaproteobacteria; Hyphomicrobiales; Rhizobiaceae.